GCUCUUGGCUGGUGGCUGGAUUAGGGUUUGGGAUACUGAGGUUAAGAGUGUGUAGUAACUAAAUUGGUUUUGCACAGGUUGAGGUGUGGAUAAUGGAGAGGCCCAUCCUGCAUGUACUUUGGAAUGUCAUAGACCAUUAUGGCCAUAAGGAAAGUGCUCAGACAAAACCUAAGACAAUUCAACUUAAGCCCAAGAUGUCUGAGUGGUUAUAAACUUCCAAAAGAUUGCCAAAGGAGUAGAAAAAAAUUUCAGCAUUCUUAAUUUGAAACCCUUUUAUUUGAUGAGCCAAAGAAAGAAUGAUCUUACAUUAUUCUGGAGUAGAACAUUAUAAUUUCAAAUAAACAGAAGUAAUCUGAAC
RNAcentral lists this long non-coding RNA (358 nucleotides) under Chinchilla lanigera (long-tailed chinchilla). RNAcentral's name for it is "lncRNA (ENSCLAG00000028516.1)". Lineage: Eukaryota; Metazoa; Chordata; Mammalia; Rodentia; Chinchillidae. The record is from RNAcentral.